CAAACCCGCAUAUUUUCAUUCGUCGGUCGGUCGGUCGGAUUUUCUUCGCGUGAAUGCUGCCGGACAAUCUGCCAGCCGUGAUCGGCGGUGAGAAGUGUUCCAGCGAGCUGCUGCACCAGGGCAAUUUCUUCCACAGAAUGCAAGUCGCAGUUCAACUAGCAUCAUCAAUCUACCUAGAUCAAAAGUUUAUCAAAACCUUCGCUACAACACCUUGUUAAACAACGCACACACCUGUUCUUUCUAGUCUCCGGAGGUCGACGAUGUCCCUGAUAGGACAAACCGUCAGUAGACGUUGCACCGCAGCACGGCCGAGUUCGUUUGUGGUGCCCCCGUGGAACGCAUUUUCCUCUCAACCGGAUGUACCGUUUGGACACGGGGCUGCGAUCUAAUGUGCUUGUGUCUGCCCGAGUUCAGCUGCGAGCUCUACA
Molecule: long non-coding RNA, 428 nt
Organism: Culex quinquefasciatus (southern house mosquito)
Lineage: Eukaryota; Metazoa; Arthropoda; Insecta; Diptera; Culicidae
Exons: 3
Source: RefSeq, a predicted model, not a curated record